Molecule: transfer-messenger RNA, 127 nt
Filed under: Gammaproteobacteria bacterium
Lineage: Bacteria; Pseudomonadati; Pseudomonadota; Gammaproteobacteria
Description: partial transfer-messenger RNA
Rfam family: transfer-messenger RNA
About the family: Bacterial tmRNA, also known as 10Sa RNA or SsrA, is named for its dual tRNA and mRNA-like properties.
Source: RNAcentral
UAAACAAGCUCACCUAUCAGCUCCUGUCCGUCGGAAACUGCUAGGUUAAAUUAAAGACGAGGCUAAACAUGUAGAACCUUAAGCAGAGGAUUUGCGGACGCGGGUUCGAUUCCCGCCGGCUCCACCA